Molecule: ribosomal RNA, 215 nt
Filed under: uncultured bacterium
Lineage: Bacteria
Description: partial 16S ribosomal RNA
Rfam family: Bacterial small subunit ribosomal RNA
Source: RNAcentral
GACAGAGGGUGCAAACGUUGUUCGGAAUUACUGGGCGUAAAGCGCGUGUAGGCGGCUUGGCAAGUCGGGUGUGAAAGCCCUGGGCUCAACCCAGGAAGUGCACUCGAAACUGCUUCGCUCGAGUAUCGGAGAGGAAAGCGGAAUUCUCGGUGUAGAGGUGAAAUUCGUAGAUAUCGAGAGGAACACCGGUGGCGAAGGCGGCUUUCUGGACGAUU